UGAAUGUUGACCUCGAAUCAGGUAGGAAUACCCGCUGAACUUAAGCAUAUCAAUAAGCGGAGGAAAAGAAACCAACAGGGAUUGCCCCAGUAACGGCGAGUGAAGCGGCAACAGCUCAAAUUUGAAAUCUGGCUCUCGGGCCCGAGUUGUAAUUUGUAGAGGAUGCUUUUGGUGAGGUGCCUUCCGAGUUCCCUGGAACGGGACGCCAUAGAGGGUGAGAGCCCCGUCUGGUUGGACACCGAUCCUCUGUAAAGCUCCUUCGACGAGUCGAGUAGUUUGGGAAUGCUGCUCUAAAUGGGAGGUAUAUGUCUUCUAAAGCUAAAUACCGGCCAGAGACCGAUAGCGCACAAGUAGAGUGAUCGAAAGAUGAAAAGAACUUUGAAAAGAGAGUUAAACAGUACGUGAAAUUGUUGAAAGGGAAGCGCUUGUGACCAGACUUGGGCUUGGUUGAUCAUCCGGGGUUCUCCCCGGUGCACUCUUCCGGCCCAGGCCAGCAUCAGUUCGCCCUGGGGGACAAAGGCUUCGGGAAUGUGGCUCUCUCCGGGGAGUGUUAUAGCCCGUUGCGUAAUACCCUGUGGCGGACUGAGG
RNAcentral lists this ribosomal RNA (588 nucleotides) under fungal sp. RNAcentral describes it as "eukaryotic LSU rRNA". It matches the Rfam family "Eukaryotic large subunit ribosomal RNA", at positions 1 to 593 of the family's 3401-position model. Lineage: Eukaryota; Fungi. The record is from RNAcentral.